GAAGCUUGGCAGUUCCCCCCCCUCCCCCACUGACACCGACACAUACAGACAUCAAAUCAACUGGCCUCAUUCUCUCCGUCAGCAAGCGACGAUGAGCAGCGCGUCCUCAUCAAAGGCGCCCUCUGCUUCUGCAGUCGCUUCGACUGCUGACCCCGCCGACGCCGGCAGUGUUAGCAGCAGUCCCACUCUCACCGCGGCGGAGAUGAAGGAGUUCGCUGAGCUUCGGUGCCAGAACCAGCUGCUCAAGGCUGAGAACGCGGUGCUGCAGCGUAAACUAGAGGAGGAGCGGGCACAACGGCGGCAAUCCCAACUCGACGAGAAUCACUACAACUUGGAAGCCGAAGCGUGCCGCGAGGCUAUUGAAAAGACUGACGGCAACGCGCAGGUGCUAGCGCUCUAUGAUGAGCUACAGCGUCUGCGUAAGAAGUGCGACAUCUACGCGGAGGCUGUGGAGGAGUCUCGGAGCUACUUUUUCGAGAUGAAGCGGCUGUACAUGGAGGUGUCGCCGUAUUUGCGUUCGUUGUCCGGUGAUUCUCAGGCGCACCGCGCAGCGUCCGUGUGAUAGAGAGGGCAGCUGCGCACGAUUGUGUGUGUGCGCGCUGGUUGGCUGUGAUGUGCCCCUGCGGCCCAUUGUCUGCCUGCUCGAUCUGUCGAGUGCAUUUCUUCUUCUUUUUCACCUGUACCGUGUGUCGCGUGUUCUCUUCUGAUCGACUUUUCGGUCGACGUGCAUGUGCUGUGGGAGGCGGUCAACUGGGGCUUGCCGACGGUCCCCCCCUCUUCUUCCCGCUGCUGCUGCUGCUGCCACUUUUUGGACUGUGUUCCGUGGGCCGCCACGUUAUCACCGCCACCCGUCUCCUUCCUUUUCCCUCGGCCCGCCCCGCUUUGCUGAACACACGCCGCACAUUCCCAUUGCGGCUCCUCUCUUCUUUCAUAUGGUUGCUUCACCACCUACUGGGGGUGUAGGCGGCUGAUGCACAGCUGCACAUGCAUCCACCCCCCCCCCUGCGGACAAAACAGCGCUUAUUGUCGUCUCCACUCCUCUGCGCAUGUCUCUAUGCACUGGCGGCUAUGCCUGCCCGGGUGACGCCCCUGAAGGCCCUCCGCGACGGUUCCUUUGCCCUCUCCCCACAUGGUAGGAGUACGACAAAGGGGACGAGGGAAGAGAGGAUGUCGCUGAGUGUGGGGGUGGGGUGGCGGUACUCUAUGCUGUGGCUCACUGGAAGUGACCCGUGUCUUGGCACGCACCCCCACCGGCAUAUCAACCCGCCUUCUUGAACGAAUACUCAUCCGCCCCCUGCCAUUCCUCCACCCUUCGAUCCUCUCCCCUUCGUCGCUCACCUUGCCCUGCCUCUUUCACUCCUCCUCCUUUCGCCAUCUGAGUGAGAG
This 1386-nucleotide unclassified non-coding RNA is filed under the name Leishmania donovani. RNAcentral's name for it is "gene:LdHU3.13.0150(CDS-product:hypothetical_prote in_conserved)". The record is from RNAcentral. Lineage: Eukaryota; Euglenozoa; Kinetoplastea; Trypanosomatida; Trypanosomatidae.